UUUGAGUGGACAAUCUGUAGAGGUCAGACGAGCUGUGCGACUGUUCAAUAUCAAAAAGAACCUCAUACCAUAUCUAUCAGUAGUAGAGAUUAUUGAUCCAUGCAAAGGUAAUGAGUUUUGAACUCAUCUAAUUAGAUCUAACAGUUAGAUUUGAUCUAGGACAUCGAUAUGAUCGAUACAGUUUUUUUUUAUAUUAGAUAAUUUUUGUAUGAAAAUUUUAUAUCAUUGAUCCUUAGUAGGUAGUUUAGAUCUGAUCUA
This 258-nucleotide long non-coding RNA is filed under the name Elaeis guineensis (African oil palm). Its description in RNAcentral is "long non-coding RNA (EGUI_LNC076876)". The record is from RNAcentral. Lineage: Eukaryota; Viridiplantae; Streptophyta; Magnoliopsida; Arecales; Arecaceae.